AACGAACGCUGGCGGCAUGCCUAACACAUGCAAGUCGAACGAGACCUUCGGGUCUAGUGGCGCACGGGUGCGUAACGCGUGAGAACCUGCCCUUAGGUUGGGAAUAACUCCCCGAAAGGGGUGCUAAUACCGGAUAAUGUUUUCGGACCAAAGAUUUAUCGCCUUUGGAUGGGCCCGCGUUGGAUUAGCUAGUUGGUAGGGUAAAAGCCUACCAAGGCGACGAUCCAUAGCUGGUCUGAGAGGAUGAUCAGCCACACUGGGACGGAGACACGGACCAGACUCCUACGGGAGGCAGCAGUGGGGAUUAUGGGACGAUGGGCGAAAGCAUGAUCCAGCAAUGCCGCGUGAGUGAUGAAGGCCUUAGGGUUGUAAAGCUCUUUUACCCGGGAUGAUAAUGACAGUACCGGGAGAAUAAGCUCCGGCUAACUCCGU
RNAcentral lists this ribosomal RNA (432 nucleotides) under uncultured bacterium. RNAcentral describes it as "partial 16S ribosomal RNA". It matches the Rfam family "Bacterial small subunit ribosomal RNA", at positions 29 to 506 of the family's 1533-position model. The record is from RNAcentral.